RNAcentral lists this ribosomal RNA (460 nucleotides) under uncultured bacterium. Its description in RNAcentral is "partial 16S ribosomal RNA". It matches the Rfam family "Bacterial small subunit ribosomal RNA", at positions 338 to 795 of the family's 1533-position model. The record is from RNAcentral.
CCUACGGGAGGCAGCAGUGAGGAAUAUUGGUCAAUGGGCGCGAGCCUGAACCAGCCAAGUAGCGUGAAGGAUGACUGUCCUACGGGUUGUAAACCUCUUUUAUCAAGGAAUAAAGUGAGGCUCGUGUCCCCUUGUGAAUGUUCUUUAUGAAUAAGGAUCGGCUAACUCCGUGCCAGCAGCCGCGGUAAUUCGGAGGAUUCGAGCGUUUUCCGGGAUUUUUUGGGUUAAAGGGAGGGUAGAUGGGGUGGUAAGUCCGUUGUGAAAGUUUGCGGGUCAACCGUACAAGUGCAAUUGAGACUGGCAGCCGUGAGUACAGUAGAGGUAGGCGGAAUGCGUGGUGUAGCGGUGAAAUGCUUAGAUAUCACGAAGAACUCCGAUUGCGAAGGCAGCAUACUAAAGUCCCACUGACAUUGAUGCACGAAAGUGUGGGUAUCAAACAGGAUUAGAUACCCCAGUAGUC